Molecule: ribosomal RNA, 445 nt
Filed under: uncultured bacterium
Lineage: Bacteria
Description: bacterial SSU rRNA
Rfam family: Bacterial small subunit ribosomal RNA
Source: RNAcentral
CUACGGGAGGCAGCAGUGGGGAAUAUUGCACAAUGGGCGAAAGCCUGAUGCAGCGACGCCGCGUGGGGGAUGACGGCCUUCGGGUUGUAAACCCCUUUCAGUCGGGACGAAGCGAGAGUGACGGUACCGAUAGAAGAAGCACCGGCCAACUACGUGCCAGCAGCCGCGGUAAUACGUAGGGUGCGAGCGUUGUCCGGAAUUACUGGGCGUAAAGAGCUCGUAGGCGGCUUGUCGCGUUGUUCGUGAAAAUUUACCGCUCAACGGUGAACUUGCGGGCGAUACGGGCAGGCUAGAGUACUGCAGGGGAGACUGGAAUUCCUGGUGUAGCGGUGAAAUGCGCAGAUAUCAGGAGGAACACCGGUGGCGAAGGCGGGUCUCUGGGCAGUAACUGAUGCUGAGGAGCGAAAGCGUGGGGAGCGAACAGGAUUAGAAACCCUUGUAGUCC